AUUGAACGCUGGCGGCAUGCUUUACACAUGCAAGUCGAGCGGCAGCGCGGGGGCAACCCUGGCGGCGAGCGGCGAACGGGUGAGUAAUGCAUCGGAACGUAUCCUCUUGUGGGGGAUAACCCACCGAAAGGUGGGCUAAUACCGCAUAAGCUCUGAGGAGGAAAGCGGGGGACCGAAAGGCCUCGCGCUGGAGGAGCGGCCGAUGUCCGAUUAGCUAGUUGGUGAGGUAAAGGCUCACCAAGGCGACGAUCGGUAGCUGGUCUGAGAGGAUGAUCAGCCACACUGGGACUGAGACACGGCCCAGACUCCUACGGGAGGCAGCAGUGGGGAAUUUUGGACAAUGGGGGCAACCCUGAUCCAGCCAUGCCGCGUGAGUGAAGAAGGCCU
RNAcentral lists this ribosomal RNA (387 nucleotides) under uncultured bacterium. Its description in RNAcentral is "bacterial SSU rRNA". It matches the Rfam family "Bacterial small subunit ribosomal RNA", at positions 29 to 417 of the family's 1533-position model. The record is from RNAcentral.